Passer montanus (Eurasian tree sparrow) is the source of this 203-nucleotide long non-coding RNA. RefSeq lists it as uncharacterized. Lineage: Eukaryota; Metazoa; Chordata; Aves; Passeriformes; Passeridae. The record is from RefSeq and is a predicted model, not a curated record. The transcript has 3 exons.
GAACAGUCUGUGUGACUAGCAUAGCUUUAAUAUUUUAAUAUCCCAAAGGAAAUGAUCUAAAGGAAAUUCUGUGCCACAGCUGUUUCCCAGUCUGUUCCACCAGUGAGUAGGCUUCGGGUGAGAAAAGACUGAGAGUGCACACAGAUGGGGCUGCUGAUCUUAACUGACCGUAGCUGUCCAAUGGAAAUGUCCAAGCAGCUGUU